Molecule: ribosomal RNA, 253 nt
Filed under: uncultured bacterium
Lineage: Bacteria
Description: partial 16S ribosomal RNA
Rfam family: Bacterial small subunit ribosomal RNA
Source: RNAcentral
UACAGAGGGUGCUAGCGUUGUCCGGAAUCACUGGGCGUAAAGGGCGCGUAGGCGGCCCGAUAAGUAGGGGGUGAAAUCUUGCGGCUCAACCGCAAGGCUGCCUUCUAAACUGUCGGGCUGGAGCACGGUAGAGGCAGAUGGAAUUCCCGGUGUAGCGGUGGAAUGCGUAGAGAUCGGGAAGAACACCAGUGGCGAAGGCGGUCUGCUGGGCCGUUGCUGACGCUGAGGCGCGACAGCGUGGGGAGCAAACAGG